RNAcentral lists this ribosomal RNA (253 nucleotides) under uncultured bacterium. RNAcentral describes it as "partial 16S ribosomal RNA". It matches the Rfam family "Bacterial small subunit ribosomal RNA", at positions 524 to 776 of the family's 1533-position model. The record is from RNAcentral.
UACAGAGGGUGCGAGCGUUAAUCGGAAUUACUGGGCGUAAAGCGUGCGCAGAUGGUUACGUAAGUCGGGUGUGAAAGCCCCGGGCUCAACCUGGGAAUUGCAUUCGAGACUGCGUAGCUAGGGUGCGGAAGAGGGAAGCGGAAUUUCCGGUGUAGCGGUGAAAUGCGCAGAUAUCGGGAAGAACACCUAUGGCGAAGGCAGCUCUCUGGGACGGUACUGACGCUGAGACGCGAAAGCGCGGGGAGCGAACGGG